AAGCUGCCUGCGAACGUGUUGGACGCGACCGAGCACGCACUUCCAUUCGAAAGCCUGACGAUGUGCCACCUCCCGGGCCGUUGUUGACGCGGUGAAUCGAGGCGGAAAAAUCGAUUGUGCUCGUGUGAUUAUUUUUGUUUUGAUUUGCGGCCUCCCGCUCUCGUAAUCCUCGCGCGGCCUCGGCCACAUGACUCAUGCCAGGCAGGAACAAUGAAAAACCACAAUAAGUACGUCAAAUUGCCCCAAGACCUCGAUCUGAGUUUCCACAGUGAUUUGGACCUGCUGCCGGAUACGGCGGCCGACAUCGACGUAGAACUAGACCCGGCUGCGGACACGGAUGUGGCCGCGCUCAGUGUGAACGUGCCCGCGUCUCUGGGCCUGGACGAGGACGACGACGACGAGGUCAUCAUCGCCCCCGGCGGCGGAGGACUUCGACUAGCUCCCACGGCGGCGGAGGCAGUGGCGGCACACAGGCAGCACCAGCAGCGCAAGCAGCUGAAGAACCAGCUGGAGCAGAAGCAGAUCCUGCCCAAGAGCAAGAUCUGCGGACUAGGCAGCGACAGCAUCGUCGAGACGGGCCUAACCCUCACACCUGAAAUGCUGUUAUCCACCUCGGAAUCAUCGACCCACAGUGCCUCCGAGGUCGCCGGACGACUGCAGGUCGACGUGCGUACCGGCCUCAAAUGGACGGAGGCCAAGUAUCGUGCCAAGAUCAUCGGGCAUAACGAGCUGCUGCUCGUGGCGGAGGAUCCCACAUGGAAAAAAUACAUUGAGCAGUUUAGGAACCCGCUAAUUCUGCUGCUUCUUGGUUCUGCUCUGGUGUCCGUAAUCAUGAAGCAGUUUGACGACGCCGUGAGCAUAACCAUUGCCAUCCUAAUCGUGGUCACGGUGGCCUUCAUUCAGGAGUACCGCUCCGAGAAGAGUCUGGAGGAGCUAAAGAAGCUGGUGCCCCCUGAAUGCCACUGCCUGCGGGAAGGUCGACUAGACACCUUCCUGGCACGCGAACUGGUGCCCGGGGACAUAGUGCACCUCAACGUGGGCGACCGGGUGCCGGCCGACGUGCGUCUUUUUGAAGCUGUGGACCUAUCUAUCGACGAGAGCAGUUUUACCGGCGAAACAGAGCCGGCGCGCAAGAUUACCGAUGUUUUGCUGAACAAUACGAACGUAAAGGACCACAGCAACAUGAAGAACAUUGCCUUCAUGGGCACUCUGGUGCGAUGUGGCAACGGCAAGGGCAUAGUUGUUAGCACUGGGGAGCGCAGUGAGUUCGGUGAAGUCUUCAAAAUGAUGCAGGCAGAGGAGGCUCCGAAGACGCCACUCCAGAAGUCGAUGGACAUUCUAGGCGCUCAGUUGAGCUUCUACUCCUUCCUGAUUAUCGGUGUCAUCAUGCUGCUGGGCUGGCUACAAGGUAAGCCGCUCUCGGAAAUGUUCAAUAUCAGCGUUUCACUGGCCGUUGCGGCCAUCCCCGAGGGCCUUCCUAUCGUGGUAACUGUGACUCUGGCGCUUGGCGUAAUGCGGAUGGCUAAACGAAAUUCCAUCGUUAAAAAGCUGCCUACUGUUGAGACCUUGGGCUGCGUAAACGUUAUCUGCUCUGACAAGACGGGAACUUUGACCAAGAACGAGAUGACGGCCACGAUCAUUAUCACUUCCGACGGCUACAUGGCGGACGUGACCGGUGCCGGUUACAAUGACCAGGGUGAAAUCCACAUACGGCAUUGCAACAACGUGGAGAUGGCUAAGACCAAUAUUACAAACCUUCUUGAAAUCGGGGCGGUCUGCAAUAACGCUUACAUACAAAAUGGCACCCUGCUAGGACAACCCACCGAGGGAGCCCUUGUGGCGGUUGCCAUGAAGAACGGAAUGUACGCCACAGCUGAGAACUACGUUCGCAUCCAGGAGUAUCCCUUCAGCUCGGAGCAGAAGAUGAUGGCUGUGAAGUGCAUCCACAAGUACAACAACAACAAGGAAGAGAUUUUCUUCGCCAAGGGGGCUCUAGAGACCCUGUUGCCGCAGUGCACCAAGUAUCAGUUCGGUACCCAGACGGUACCACUUACCAAGCAGAACGAGGCCGAGUUCCUAGCCGAGGCGUACGAGAUCGGGCGCAAGGGCCUGCGCGUGUUGGCCCUGGCAAAGGGCCGGUCCAUGCAAGAUCUGAUCUACUGCGGCCUAGUCGGCAUCACUGACCCACCGAGGCCCCUUGUUCGAGAGUCCAUUGAAAUGUUGAUGCAGAGCGGAGUGCGUGUCAAAAUGGUGACUGGAGAUGCCCAGGAAACGGCCUUGGCCAUUGCGAAUCUCAUCGGUAUCGAUACAAUUCACCACCAGACGCUUUCCGGUCAGGAAAUGGAUCAAAUGAACGAGCACCAACUGGACAAGGUAGCCAACAACGUGAGCGUCUUCUACCGCGUAUCGCCACGCCACAAACUGGAGAUAGUCAAGUCCUUGCAGCGCAGUGGCAACAUAGUCGGCAUGACUGGCGACGGGGUGAACGACGGAGUAGCUCUGAAGAAGGCUGACAUCGGCAUUGCCAUGGGUAAGAACGGGACGGAUGUGUGUAAGGAGGCGGCUGAUAUGAUUCUGGUCAAUGAUGAUUUCCACACCAUAAUCGCCGCCAUCGAGGAGGGCAAGGGCAUAUUCUACAACAUUCGCAACUUCGUGCGCUUUCAGCUUAGCACAUCAAUAGCUGCCCUGGCCCUGAUUGCCCUGGCCACUCUGAUGGACAUUGCUAACCCGCUGAAUGCCAUGCAGAUUUUGUGGAUCAACAUCAUAAUGGACGGUCCGCCCGCACAGUCUCUGGGUGUGGAGCCCGUCGACCACGAUGUGCUCAAACAGAAACCACGGAACGUGAAACAACCGAUGAUCACAAAGUCUGUGGUGGUGAACGUUCUACUGAGUGCCAGCAUAAUUGUACUGGGCACGCUGUGGGUGUUCCAGCGCGAAAUGGCCGACGGGACGCUGGGAAAGACCAAGCGGGACACGACGAUGACCUUUACUUGUUUCGUGUUUUUCGACAUGUUUAACGCCCUGUCUUGCCGCUCGCAGACAAAGAGUGUCUUUACCAUCGGACUCACUACCAAUCGGAUGUUCUUGCUGGCCGUCGCUUUCUCGAUCAUUGGUCAAAUGCUCGUUGUCUACUUUCCGCCGCUGCAAAUGGUUUUCCAGACGGAAGCUCUUACGCCGUAUGACAUAUUCUUCCUGGUCUCCCUAACCUCGUCUGUGCUGGUUGUUUCAGAGAUAAAGAAAUGGUUCGAGCGUACCAUGGAGCGCAAGAUGUACAGCACCCGCUCCGAGCUGGAUUUUGUAUGACAAAACGCAAGCGCUAGAGAAGAUUUGCACCCCAAAGCCGAGUAAAUUAAAUAACUAACAAAAAAUCCAUAAAAAAAGUAAAACUAUGCCAAAACAAGCGAGGAGCGCGGCGAAGUGCAGUUAGAGAGAAAAGCCGAAAACAAGAGCGACGGAGCAAGGAUGUGUGUGUUUAACUUUACAUUUGACUUGACCAAUUAAGAAUGAUUUAAUUGUUACUGUGGGUUUUCAACCAGAUUGCACAGCAGGGAUUUUCAUAGAUUUGAAGUAAGCUUCCAGAUCUUACUCGUUCUUCCCCACAGCGAAGCAACCGGAUUAUAAAUCAAGUGACCACUUACUAUAAUCCGAGUAUAUUCCCCGGGAAAGUGCAAUACCACUAGGUCACAGUCAACAUACAUAAGAAUAAAACGGAAGCGAGUCAAAAAGGCAUGAAAUGGACAAGCUAAGCGAGGCGUAGUUAAAGUAAAACAUGGUUUUUUUGGUAUUAUUGAUGAAUAAUUUAUUCGGUAUUUGAAAGCAAGCAAUCAAUUUGUGUAAAAUUGAGGCAAAUCAAAACUCUAGCGUGCUAUCAAAAUAAAACAAUUUUUGACGAAGACAUCUCCAAAACAACUUUAAAUGGAGAGUUCAGAUCAACAAAAGAUUUUUGUAUGUAAUCAAAAAUGCUAUAAUUUCCGCAUACUGUGUGGGCGUUGAUUUGAUGCUUUGGUAAUUAAGUUCAUUAUUAAUGGGUUUACCAAAACGGAAUAAUGCACCAAGCAAAUGCGAAAUCUUACGAAGCAAUCAGCACCACGUUUACUCGAAUGUAAAGCAAUUUUCGCUCAUAUACUUAAAUAAAAAUAAAUUCAUAGGAAAACACGGUUCUGUGUACUAUUCUGUUGCUUGUAGGUUGAAUUGAACUCUAAUGCAAUAGUUUACUAAACGGCAACAGAAAUUUACAAGUAUAGCCUAUCCAGAUUGUAAUCAAAAGUAUACAUCUCAAUAAUAAAUUAAUACAUUUUGAAAAAAUAAACAAAUUCAGUAGAUUACCAACACUUGUCUACCCCUUAUAAAUUAACGUAAAUAUCAUUGACAUAAAAUUCAUAUCAUACCAACUCAGAGUUCACUGUUGCACUGGAAGCAUAUCACAAUUUGUCCAUGUUUUUAUACCCGUUAUUUGUAGAGCAAAAGGCAAUUCUUUAUUCGUAGAAAUGUUAACCCUAUUAAAGAAUAUAUAUUCUUGAUCGAGAUCACUGGCCCGGCCCGUCUGUCUGUCCGUCCGUAUGUCUGUCCGUAUAAACGUUGAAAUCUUGGCAGAUAUAAAAGCUACAGACACAAACGCGACCCAUAACUGCAACGGCCACAUUUUAUAGAAAUGAUUUUAUAUUUUAAAGUUAUAAGUCUUGUCAAUUCCUGAUAUGCCCACAUUUUUUUUUUAAUUUUGAUAUUUUUUUAUCAAAUUCUAUCGAUAAUUAAGAACAACUUUGAAAUACUUCCCUGGCACUCCCACUAUUUGAGUAACGGGUAUCUAAUAGUCGAGAAAUUCGACUUUAGCGUUCUCUCUUGUUUUUAUUUGAAUGAGCUUGUAUGUCAACAUUUUUCACGAAUUUAAAACUUGGUUUUAGCAAUUUAUGUGCACACUGCAGAUCGCAUUCAAAGGACCAAUCGUUAAUAAUUCAUUUGAUCACACACAUUAAGAUCAGCUUACGCUCAACAAAAACGCACUCAUAUAUCACGGCAAAAAAAAAAUGAAAAAACUUAAAAACAAAAAAAAAAGAAAAACCAGGAAAAAUAAUUGAUAAAAAUGCUCGUUCAACACAGCAAGCAAUUGAAGGUUCAUAAUAAUAUCAGCGCAUAAAAGCAUACUAAAAGUACAUCGGCAGACAACCAGAGACACACAUUCCCACACACGUUCAGUCACAUCUCAUCCACAAUGGUAACAAUAAUUAGAAAAAUAAGCGUAUUAAUAUAGAGUAAAAAGUAUGAAUGUCUGGAGGACUAAAUAAAGUGCACCAAAUAAAAUAAAUAUGUUAGUCAAAGCAGGUAUACAUUAUGGAAUUAAAACUAAACUCUACUCAAUGUUAUGUGUAAGCAAAGUCCGAAAUUCGACUUAUAAUGAAUGAUGAUACUAAACGAAUUCUUAACCACUGAAAUAUUCAUUGAUCGUCUAUUAAUAUAUAUGUAAGUUUAAAUGUCUAACUGGACCGCCUAAUUUAAGAGCUCCGAAAAAUGUGUUGCCUAAAUUCACCAUUUACCAAAAUAGUUUAAAUAGUUUGGUGCAAAGAAAUGUACAAUUGAUGACAACCGUACGAGUUCUUAAAAUCCAUUUCUAAAAAACGCUUAACCUAUAAAAAUUAACUAUAACUAUCUGUGCUAUUAAAUUUAAGCUAUAAAAUAUAGACAAAUACCAAGAGUAAUGCAAACAUACAUUCAAACAUAUUUCGAGAAUAAUAAGAACCCUGAGAAAUGGCAUAAAGUAAAUUGAACCAUCAUCGUUUGUUUUACCAAAGCUAUCCCCUAAAAGUGUAUAUCAUUUUAUAAAUUUAACAAUAUUGGGGCAAGAUCUUAGGCAUAAAAUGAAUUUUGCAAUGGCAACCAUAUAUUUAAUAUUAAUCUGCGGAAUAUCGUAAAACAAGUAUUUACCGAAUAUAAUAAACUUUAUGUAGUACAGUA
This is an RNA transcript of Drosophila simulans, 5949 nucleotides long. It is a transcript of the gene named calcium-transporting ATPase type 2C member 1, with no coding region annotated. Lineage: Eukaryota; Metazoa; Arthropoda; Insecta; Diptera; Drosophilidae. The record is from RefSeq and is a predicted model, not a curated record. The transcript is spliced from 5 exons.